CACUAAGAAGCUUCUAUAGCACUAGCCUUUUAAGCCAGAGAGGGAGAGUACCUCUCCCUUAGUGA
This 65-nucleotide transfer RNA is filed under the name Tropidophorus hainanus. RNAcentral's name for it is "tRNA-Lys". Lineage: Eukaryota; Metazoa; Chordata; Lepidosauria; Squamata; Scincidae. The record is from RNAcentral.